GAUGAACGCUGGCGGCGUGCCUAAUACAUGCAAGUCGAGCGAACAGACGAGGAGCUUGCUCCUCUGACGUUAGCGGCGGACGGGUGAGUAACACGUGGAUAACCUACCUAUAAGACUGGGAUAACUUCGGGAAACCGGAGCUAAUACCGGAUAAUAUAUUGAACCGCAUGGUUCAACAGUGAAAGACGGUUUUGCUGUCACUUAUAGAUGGAUCCGCGCCGCAUUAGCUAGUUGGUAAGGUAACGGGUUACCAAGGCAACGAUGCGUAGCCGACCUGAGAGGGUGAUCGGCCACACUGGAACGGGGACACGGUCAAGACUCCUACGGGAGGCAGCAGUAGGGAAUCUUCCGCAAUGGGCGAAAGCCUGACGGAGCAACGCCGCGUGAGUGAUGAAGGUCUUCGGAUCGUAAAACUCUGUUAUUAGGGAAGAACAAAUGUGUAAGUAACUAUGCACGGCUUGACGGUACCUAAUCAGAAAGCCACGGCUAACUACGUG
RNAcentral lists this ribosomal RNA (497 nucleotides) under uncultured bacterium. RNAcentral's name for it is "partial 16S ribosomal RNA". It matches the Rfam family "Bacterial small subunit ribosomal RNA", at positions 28 to 507 of the family's 1533-position model. The record is from RNAcentral.